This is a non-coding RNA of Erythranthe guttata (spotted monkey flower), 244 nucleotides long. NCBI's taxonomy places the organism in Eukaryota, Viridiplantae, Streptophyta, Magnoliopsida, Lamiales, Phrymaceae. The record is from RefSeq and is a predicted model, not a curated record.
AACAACACACACUCACUCUCUACCGCUCGUUUCGAAUUUUCAUAAGGCAAAAAGGCUCACAAAAAUCUCCCUCUAUCUCAGAGUUUUCGCGAAAUUGGUUUGAAGAACUAUUAUAUGAGUGUAUUUGAAGGACGCUUACUGUAGAAGAAGUUAUGGAUUCAGUGAAAGCAGCUGGGUACGAAAAGAAAACAGGAAAAAAUGAAAAAAAGAAAAUGAGGAAAAAGGGAGAAAAAACGAGGAGAAA